UACGUAGGGUGCGAGCGUUAAUCGGAAUUACUGGGCGUAAAGCGUGCGCAGGCGGUUCGUCAAGUCAGGUGUGAAAUCCCCGGGCUUAACCUGGGAACUGCAGUCGAGACUGUCUAGCUAGAGUAUGGGAGAGGGAAGUGGAAUUUCAGGUGUAGCGGUGAAAUGCGUAGAUAUCUGAAGGAACAUCAGUGGCGAAAGCGACUUCCUGGACCAAUACUGACGCUCAUGUGCGAAAGCGUGGGGAGCAAACAGG
Molecule: ribosomal RNA, 253 nt
Filed under: uncultured bacterium
Lineage: Bacteria
Description: partial 16S ribosomal RNA
Rfam family: Bacterial small subunit ribosomal RNA
Source: RNAcentral